AGCUUAGGGCAGUGGCAGUAUCGUAGCCAAUGAGGUUUAUCCGAGGCUCGAUUAUUGCUAAUUGAAAAAAAAAAAAAAAUGUCUCCCUAGCAAUUGGAUCAUUUAGUGAAAU
This 112-nucleotide small nuclear RNA is filed under the name Cervus hanglu yarkandensis (Yarkand deer). RNAcentral's name for it is "U4 spliceosomal RNA (ENSCHYG00000021493.1)". It matches the Rfam family "U4 spliceosomal RNA". From Rfam's summary of the family: U4 small nuclear RNA (U4 snRNA) is a component of the major U2-dependent spliceosome. The record is from Rfam by way of RNAcentral. Lineage: Eukaryota; Metazoa; Chordata; Mammalia; Artiodactyla; Cervidae.